CGACCCAGACCCAAGAAGAGCCCAUUGGGGGUUUAUUGGUAAUACAUGAUAUAAAAAACUUCCCUUUGUAGU
RNAcentral lists this transfer RNA (72 nucleotides) under Cyclospermum leptophyllum. RNAcentral describes it as "tRNA-Tyr". Lineage: Eukaryota; Viridiplantae; Streptophyta; Magnoliopsida; Apiales; Apiaceae. The record is from RNAcentral.